AUGUGUAGAUAUGGCACCCAUCACCAACAUUAUAAAAGGAAAUGGACCUCAUACCUACAUCCAGAUUCCUUACAAAUGGCCACAUCCCAUAUUUUGCUGCUGCCCACAUCCACCUCCCCGUCAGUAAUGGUGGCCGGAAGUGAAGCGAGAGCCCCCAGGAUGCACAGCGCGGAGCUGAACCUUCCCGCCUGCUCUUUCCUGUUCUGUCUGAAAUCCCCACGUCGGACGCUCCUCGGGUCUUCAGAAAUGGUAAGAUCAUUGCUGGCUGUGUCCACAUCCGAGGUCGUAUCCACCUGAAACUUCUUCAUCCUUGGCUAGAAUGGAUUUCCGCUUGGGCUCUGGUUCCUUGAUGAUGGAAAUCCGUGCCCUCAGCUUGUACUUGCGCUUGAUGUCAUUCUUGUGAGAGGCCGCAGAGCAUAGAGGGGAUAGUACACCUGCCCCAUGGAGCUUCCUCCGCAGUGAACGGACGCACUGCGGGCAGCAGGCACAUCCACAUUUCAAUUGCCCCGGUUCUUCGAGAUCAUGUAGACAAACAGGACAUCUAAUUACUUGUUUGACGUGUUCAGCCAUGGCAAAUGUCUUCCCGAGUUUCCUCCCCUGGCCUCCAGCUGCUUCUGCUGACAGCUCAGAUUUAUUUAUUUAUUUAUUUAUUUAUUUAUUUAUUUAUUUAUUUAUUUAUUUAUUUUGAGAUGGAAUUUCGCUCUUGUUGCCCAGGUCGGAGUGCAAGGGUGCGAUCUCAGCUCACUGUAACCUCCACUUCCCGGGUUCAAGCAAUCCUCCUGCCUCAGCCUCCCAAGUAGCUGGGAUUACAGGAGCACACCACCAUGCCAGGCUAAUUUUUUUUUUUUUUGAGAUGGGGUUUCGCUCUUGUUACCCAGGCUGGAGUGCAAUGGCACGAUCUCGGCUCACCGCAACCUCCGCCUCCUGGGUUCAGGCAAUUUUCCUGCCUCAGCCUCAUGAGUAGCUGGGAUUACAGGCAUGCACCACCGUGCCCAGCUAAUUUUUUGUAUUUUUAGUAGAGACGGGGUUUCACCAUGUUGACCAGGAUGGUCUCGAUCUCUUGACCUCGUGAUCCACCCGCCUUGGCCUCCCAAAGUACUGGGAUUACAGGCUUGAGCUACCGCACCCAGCCUGUUUUUCUGUUUUUUGUUUUUUUUUUUUUUAUAGUAGAGAUGAGUUUUACCAUGUUGAUCAGGCUGCUCUCGAACUCCCAAUCUCAAGGUGAUCCGCUCACCUUGGCCUCUCAAAGUGCUAGGAUUAUAGGCUCGAACCACCGUGCCUGACCUAUUUAUUUAUUUAUUUAAUUGAUUUUAACUUUUAUUUUGGACUCAGGGGUAUAUGUGCAGGUUUGUUACAUGUGUAUAUUACAUAACACUGAGGUUUGGGGUGUGAAUGAUCCUCACCUAGGUAAUGAGCAUAGUGACCAAUAGGUAGUAUGUCAACCCUUGUCCCCCUUCCUCCUUCCCGCCCGCACUGCCUGUCGUUCUUAUCAUUAUAUCCAUGAGUACCCAAUGCUUAACUCCCACUUGUGAGAACAUGCUAACACAUGUGGUUUUCUGUUUCUGCCUUAAUUCACCCAAGAUAAUGACCUCUAGCUACAUGCAUGUUGCUGCAAAGGAUGUGAUUUUUUUUUGUGCCUAUGUAUUAUUCUAGACUGUGUAUAUACCACAUUUUAAAAAAUCCAAUCUGCUGUUGAUGGACACCUAGAUUGAUUCCCUGUCUUUGCUACUGAGAAUAGUACUAUGAUGAACAUGUGGGUGCAUGUACCUUUACAGAAUGAUUUAUUUGCCUUUGGAUAUGUACUCGGUAAUGAGGAUUGCUAGGUUGAAAGGUAAUUUUGUUUUAAGGAGAUCACCAAACUGCUUUCCAUGGUGGCUGAACUAAUUUACAUUCACACCAACAGUAUUCUUGGCAGCCUCACCGGCAUCUGUGGCUUUUUUACUUUUUUUUGUGUGUGUGUUGUGAGAGACAGUCUUGUUUUGUUACCCAGGCUGGAGUGCAGUGGUGCGAUCUUGGCUCACCGCAACCUCCACCACCCAGGUUCAAGCGAUUCUCCUGCCUCAGCCUCCUGAGUAGCUGGGAUUACAGGCACACGCCACCACACCUGGGUAAUUUUUGUAGUUUUAGUAGAGAUGGGGUUCCACCACGUUGACCAGGCUGCUCUCCUUAGGUGAUCCACACUCCUCGGCCUCCCAAAGUGCUGGGAUUACAGGCGUGAGGCAAUGAGCCCGGCCUUUUUAAUAACAGCCAUUCUGAUUGGUGUGAGAUGGUAGGUAUCUCAUGGUUUGAUUUGCGUUUCUCUAAUGAUCAAUGUUAUUGAGCAUUUUCCCAUGUUUGUUGUCUGCUGUAUGACUUCUUUUGAAAAGUAUCUGUUCAUGUCCUUUGCCCACUUUAAAAAUUUUGUUUAAUUAAUUAAUUUAUUUAUUUUUGAGACAGUCUCAUUCUGUCACCCAGGCUGGAAUACAGUGGUGCUAUCUGGGCUCACUGUAGCCUCUGAGUUCAGUGAUUCUCCUGCCUCUACCUCCUAAGUAGCCGGGAUGAUAAGCGUGUGCCACCAUGCCUGGCUAAAUUCUGUAUUUUUAGUAGGGGAGGUUUCACCAUGUUGGCCAGGCUGGUUUGAACUCCUGACCUCAAGUGAUCUGCCUGCCUCAGCCUCCCCCAAGUGUUGGAUUUACAGGCGUGAGCCACUGUGCCCAGCCUGCCCACUUUUUAAUGGGGUCAUUCUUUGGUUGUUGAAUUGUUUAAAUUUCUUAUACAUUCUGAAUAGACCUUUAUCAGAUACACAGUCUGUGAAUAUUUCUAAAUUUUUCCCCAAACAUUAGAUCUUCUUCAAUACAUGUUGUAUCUGAUGUGUCCAUAUUGGAAAUAAGAUUUUAAAAAUAAGAACAUAGGAUAAGUUAAAAUAAAUAAUAUAAUGGUAACUCAUGGCAUCUAGUAAGUCACACACAUACACAUACCAUCCCCAAAAGCUCAAAGCCUGUCAAGAUACAAUUCACACCAGUGUUGGCUUCUUCCUUAUGUGUCUUAUCCCUGCCUACCCAAAAGCCUGUCUCCUCCUCACAGCCCUGUCUUAUAGAGUAGAAAGGACAGAAUAGCUGUGACCGGGGCUUACUCAUCUGUACAGUCACUAGAUGGUAAUAGUUAUAAUAAUUAACAUGUGUAAAGGGCUUUGCAUCAUAUAAGCCACCACUGCACAUAUGAUUUUAAUUUAAUUUUAAUCUUUAUAGAAAUUUCUCUCCUCCUCCUCCUCCUCCUCCUCCUCACCUCAGACGGGGGUAUAAAGGCUUAGGAAUGAAGUCACUUGCUGAGAUCUCUCACUGUGCUUUUUCCUCAAGUAUAUAAGCAUUCCUGAUCCUCUUGAGACAACCUUUCUCUCUUCUUUCACACCCAAGCUUUUUAGAGUAGUUUGCACAAGCUGCCUUCCUCUCUUUGCAGUCAUGUUGCUAAUUUUUCCCUGUCUAACGAAAGUGGUAACACUGCAUCAGGUCACAUUCUGAAAGAUUGCACUCAUCCACCUACUGCAGUUUGGAUCAUACAUAGGUAUUAAACACAACUUGAGGCGUGUCCUUGACUACUGAGGAAAGUAGGCAAACCCUGGGCAGGCACUCAGACUUGGG
This 3617-nucleotide long non-coding RNA is filed under the name Callithrix jacchus (white-tufted-ear marmoset). Its description in RNAcentral is "lncRNA (ENSCJAG00000081709.1)". The record is from RNAcentral. Lineage: Eukaryota; Metazoa; Chordata; Mammalia; Primates; Cebidae.